RNAcentral lists this ribosomal RNA (353 nucleotides) under uncultured bacterium. RNAcentral's name for it is "bacterial SSU rRNA". It matches the Rfam family "Bacterial small subunit ribosomal RNA", at positions 29 to 412 of the family's 1533-position model. The record is from RNAcentral.
AGCGAACGCUGGCGGCAGGCCUAACACAUGCAAGUCGAGCGCCCCGCAAGGGGAGCGGCAGACGGGAGAGUAACACGUGGGAACGUACCCUUCGGUUCGGAACAACCCAGGGAAACUUGGGCUAAUACCGGAUACGUCCGAAAGGAGAAAGAUUUAUCGCCGAGGGAUCGGCCCGCGUCUGAUUAGCUAGUUGGUGGGGUAACGCCCACCAAGGCGACGAUCAGUAGCUGGUCUGAGAGGAUGAUCAGCCUCACUGGGACUGAGACACGGCCCAGACUCCUACGGGAGGCAGCAGUGGGGAAUAUUGGACAAUGGGCGCAAGCCUGAUCCAGCCAUGCCGCGUGGGUGAUGAA